Molecule: long non-coding RNA, 607 nt
Organism: Brassica oleracea var. oleracea
Lineage: Eukaryota; Viridiplantae; Streptophyta; Magnoliopsida; Brassicales; Brassicaceae
Exons: 3
Source: RefSeq, a predicted model, not a curated record
GUGAUAUCAGUUUUGUAGCUUCUUCAAUGGCGUCUUCUUCAACUAGUCUCAUCUCCUCCUCCUCCUCCUCCUCCUCCACUAGGAUUCUUCUCCCAGCCAAGUCUUCGCUUCCAUCUCUCUCCCUCUCUUUCCUUCCAGCUCUCUCCUCUCCUUCCGCACUCGCUUCUCUCCGGUUUGCUCGACCCUCUUCCCUCCCCUCAAUCUGCUCCUCUUCUCGCCGGAGCUUCGCCAGACCGAGCAUCAUGUCAAGACAUGCGAUGGUUUAGUUUCAGUUGUAGUCUAUGGAGACCAAGAGAAGCCAGCAUUGAUCACUUACCCAGAUGUAGCAUUAAAUUACUUGUCUUGCUUCCAAGGACUGUUUCUCUGCCCUGAAGCAGUGUCUUUGCUCCUCCAUAACUUCUGUCACGGAGUGGAGGAAGUCUUGUAGUUUUCUGUCUUGUUGUCUUGUAGCAUUGGGAGUAAGCUAGUAGUUUUCUGUCGUGGAGGAAAUCUUGUAGUUCUCGGUCAUGUUUGAUCACACACAUAUUCUCUCAUUUUCAACCAACCAAGAUCAUCUUGUGUAGAUAUGUUUUUCAUAAAAUGUUUAAUUUUUUUUAAGAACUCUUGA